UUGUGUAGAAAAUUAUUGCUACUAAAAGAAAUGAAAUUGUUUUCUUCAUCCUUGUUUCAAACCAACUAAUAAACUAGAUGCUUGGAAGACUCUUUUCACUAUAUAGUUCAUGUAUGCACCUCUACUUGAUAAUCAUAAAUAGUUUGAUCACACCAUUCUUUCAAAAAAAAAGCAAUCUACUAAAAACAACCAGCAGAUGAUGUAUCUGAAGGCAUUUCGUUUCAGGUGAUAUGUUCGUGACUUAAUUUUGUGGCCUACACAACUAAUGUAGAGGUUAUAUAAGUGUAGAACAGUGAUUUAGGAUAUGAUGUUUUUUAAAUACCUUUCGCGAAUGUUUGUUUGAACUCCGUUCCGAGACCACAUACUUUAGGAAAUUUUCUUAUGUUUCAACCAAAUAAGCUCUCAAAGGAUUAGCAAGCACAUGGACCAUUCCGAUUAAACUAUUUGUUCUAGGUCACAAUUGAAGUAUUGAUAUGUUCUGCCCAACGUUCAUUACACCGAGUCAUGUAUUUUUUUUUCUGAACAUACAUUAUAUUUUCUAGAAAUUUCUCCUCUGUUAGAGAAACAUAUAAAUUCUUCUGUCUUUUUAUUACAUGAUACAACCUAAGGAAAUUGGAACGACUGAUUUAUGUGGGAAACUGAUGGGCUAAAGCUCAAAAGCUCACACCUGGAUGUUUUUUGUCACACCUUCAAAAUCGUGUAGAAGAAACGCUUACAAAAAGAAGAAAGAGACCUGGUUUGCCUUCCUUGCUGGCGUCCUUGUCAUCUCCAACCCGCCCACGGGGUGCUCAAGGGGUUCGGCCAAGUCGGAUGCCAGGCGGUGCGCGCAGCUGAGGAGCACUGGCAGCAGGCGCUUGAUGCGGCGCUCCCCGCGUCGCCGCUGCUCAUUCGCGGCUCCUCCUCCUCCCCAACGGAUCGCGACUGAACCUUCCUUGUGCCAGCACCUCGUGGCCAUGAAGGGUGGCUGAGCCAUCAGGAGCGGCGGCGGCGGCCUGCUGCGGAUGCUGCUGCGGCUCCCUCCUCUUCCUCGUCGGCUUCUACCUGCUUUGUGCCGACGCCAUGUACAUCGUGUCAUCCCGGUGCUUCUGCUUUCCCGGGUCGCAACUCUUUGGUGUGCUCGACAAGGCCAGGACACACAUUCUGGAGAGCUCCUUGGUCAGUCCAUCACGAGAACCGGCAGCUACCGGAUUCCUUUUGUGCUGCUGGAAAGGAGGCACAUUGUUCCCAUGCUCGUGCUCUAUGGGUAGAAGCUGCAAAUUCUGGAGGUAUCAGACGAGGGUAUUCGAAGAAGACACCAUGAAUGGCAGCAGACUCUACCGCUUCCAUUACAAUGGUAUUCGAAAAAGAUACCACCUUGUGGCCUUUCCUGUUUCCUGUGACUACGACUUCCAACUCUUUAACUGGGAUGGUGUCAAAAGAAAUUCUGUAACUGGGACACAAUAAAAUAAAUUGGUACAACUAUAUGGAUUCCUUGGUAAGCUCAUGAUUCAUCUGGCUAAGCAGUCUUAGUAGACCGCCAAUGUUGUGUUAUUAAGAUGCAGGUUUCAAUAACCUUCAUGUUUGCGGCUAAAAUAAUGUAGUUAUCUCGGUAGUCUAGGUAGAUUGAAAUAAUUGUUUAUCCUUGAAGCAAAUCAACUAAACAACUGCCAGUAGAUGAUGAGGUGCCUUCUGCAAACAAAAAAGCUAAGCUCUAAGCGAGUAUUUUUAGGCGACCUAUCUUUUUCGGUGAUUUGUUUAAUCCUUCCUCUGCUCAAUUGAUGUGAACCACAAACCUUGCUCUGCUAAAUUGAUGUGAACCACAAUCCUUGCUCUGCUCAAUUGAUCUUCCCAGCAAAUCAAUGAACAUGUGCCCACAGGGACACAGUCAAAGCAAGGUAUCUGAAGACCUGAUGGGAAAUGAGGAGGUGCCCUUUGCAACUAAAAAGACUAAGUUGGAGACCAAGUGCCUUUAGGCAACGCGCCCUUUUGGAUCGUAGCGUAUUAGUUGCGGAUGUGCAGAAAAUGCUGAUUUAGCGGAUGGAUUGCCUUUUCCAUCUGGGAUCGCUUUUGUUGCGACCUGUCGCUUAUAAUAGAGUGAUCUGUUUUGCUGAUCCUGGCCAAGUGGAAUCUACUGUCUGUCAAUGUCCAAAUGCUGCAGUCAAUAGUUAGUGUGACAUGGAUCUUGACUAAUGUAUCCCAUCAGUUUAGCCGUGUGUUGCUAGCUGAUGUGAAAGUAUGUGUGAUUACCAUACUUAUUAUGAUUAUGGAUGUUGCUACAUGUUUCAUUAGCUAAAUUUUACCUAUGCAUUCUGCCUGUGGAUGCCAUUUCCUC
This is a long non-coding RNA of Triticum aestivum (bread wheat), 2311 nucleotides long. RefSeq lists it as uncharacterized. The transcript is spliced from 7 exons. The record is from RefSeq and is a predicted model, not a curated record. NCBI's taxonomy places the organism in Eukaryota, Viridiplantae, Streptophyta, Magnoliopsida, Poales, Poaceae.